GGGAUCUUAGCUCAGCUGGGAGAGCAUCUGCCUUACAAGCAGGGGGUCACAGGUUCGAGCCCUGUAGGUCCCACUA
This 76-nucleotide transfer RNA is filed under the name Eubacterium sp. AF15-50. RNAcentral describes it as "tRNA-Val". It matches the Rfam family "tRNA". Rfam says of the family: Transfer RNA (tRNA) molecules are approximately 80 nucleotides in length. Their secondary structure includes four short double-helical elements and three loops (D, anti-codon, and T loops). Further hydrogen bonds mediate the characteristic L-shaped molecular structure. tRNAs have two regions of fundamental functional importance: the anti-codon, which is responsible for specific mRNA codon recognition, and the 3' end, to which the tRNAs corresponding amino acid is attached (by aminoacyl-tRNA synthetases). tRNAs cope with the degeneracy of the genetic code in two manners: having more than one tRNA (with a specific anti-codon) for a particular amino acid; and 'wobble' base-pairing, i.e. permitting non-standard base-pairing at the 3rd anti-codon position. The record is from RNAcentral. RNAcentral also lists the same sequence under 2 other names. Lineage: Bacteria; Bacillati; Bacillota; Clostridia; Eubacteriales; Eubacteriaceae.